Nomascus leucogenys (northern white-cheeked gibbon) is the source of this 792-nucleotide long non-coding RNA. RefSeq lists it as uncharacterized. The transcript has 3 exons. Lineage: Eukaryota; Metazoa; Chordata; Mammalia; Primates; Hylobatidae. The record is from RefSeq and is a predicted model, not a curated record.
UCUUAGCGCAUAAUGGAAAGGAAAUAUUGAAAGCAAGGUUUUUACCUAAGGAGGCUUGCCGGAGAAGCCGACCUGAGGGAAGAAUAUGAGUGCAAGCAGUUUAUUUGGUAGGUGGGGGAUGGAGAAGUGAGACGGGAGCGAUGGGAACGAAUAUACAGUGCAUAGGGCCACUCCAGAGGUGUUAAAGCUCCAGCACUUCCAGCCUGCCUCGUGGGAAGGUCUUAGGCUGAGUCUGUACGUGCCUGCAGUAAGAAGCCAGCGGUCUGCAUAUAAUUGCUGAAGGGUGGUGGCUGGGUACCAACAGCAUUCACUACAGGCCUGCCUUGAAUACCAUCUAACGCAGUGCCCCGCAUAUCACAGGGGCUGGAAACCUAACAAUUUCACUUCCUGGGCUACUUGCUAAAAGUCACCUAAAGACAGUCUGAUUACUGCCAAAGAUAUGCUUUCAAAUAAGAUUUGGAUAAAGAAGGGAGGUAGAUGCCUUUUUUCAGCAGUGGAGUGAUGUCCAGACCAGUAGAUACAGGCAUCUGUGUGAACUCAUCACCAGCAACAAUUUCCUGAAACUUCCUGACCUCCAGACUGCAGCUUCAUUAGUGUGAGUUUAAAGCCAACUAGAUGCCAUUCUUAGAUUCCAUGCAUAUGGCCAAAGGUCCAGGAAAUAAGAAGAAACAGGGUUGAGGGGUUGGUGUUACGGGGCAUUUACUUGAAUUUUCUAUGCUAUAAUUGUCUCAUCUUUAAAAUGGUGAUAAUAAUAAAAUUGUCAGUUAUUAAAUAAAUUAACACAGUGAAAAA